GACGAACGCUGGCGGCGUGCUUAACACAUGCAAGUCGAACGGAAAGGCCCUGCUUUUGUGGGGUGCUCGAGUGGCGAACGGGUGAGUAACACGUGAGUAACCUGCCCUUGACUUUGGGAUAACUUCAGGAAACUGGGGCUAAUACCGUAUAGGAGCUCCUGCUGCAUGGUGGGGGUUGGAAAGUUUCGGCGGUUGGGGAUGGACUCGCGGCUUAUCAGCUUGUUGGUGGGGUAGUGGCUUACCAAGGCUUUGACGGGUAGCCGGCCUGGGAGGGUGACCGGCCACAUUGGGACUGAGAUACGGCCCAGACUCCUACGGGAGGCAGCGGUGGGGAAUAUUGCACAAUGGGCGGAAGCCUGAUGCAGCAACGCCGCGUGCGGGAUGACGGCCUGCGGGUUGUAAACCGCUUUCGCCUGUGACGAAGCGUGAGUGACGGUAAUGGGUAAAGAAGCACCGGCUAACUACGUG
Molecule: ribosomal RNA, 468 nt
Filed under: uncultured bacterium
Lineage: Bacteria
Description: partial 16S ribosomal RNA
Rfam family: Bacterial small subunit ribosomal RNA
Source: RNAcentral